GAUGAACGCUGGCGGCGUGCCUAAUACAUGCAAGUCGAGCGAACAGACGAGGAGCUUGCUCCUUUGACGUUAGCGGCGGACGGGUGAGUAACACGUGGGUAACCUACCUAUAAGACUGGGAUAACUUCGGGAAACCGGAGCUAAUACCGGAUAAUAUUUCGAACCGCAUGGUUCGAUAGUGAAAGAUGGCUUUGCUAUCACUUAUAGAUGGACCUGCGCCGUAUUAGCUAGUUGGUAAGGUAACGGCUUACCAAGGCAACGAUACGUAGCCGACCUGAGAGGGUGAUCGGCCACACUGGAACUGAGACACGGUCCAGACUCCUACGGGAGGCAGCAGCAGGGAAUCUUCCGCAAUGGGCGAAAGCCUGACGGAGCAACGCCGCGUGAGUGAUGAAGGUCUUCGGAUCGUAAAACUCUGUUAUUAGGGAAGAACAAACGUGUAAGUAACUGUGCACGUCUUGACGGUACCUAAUCAGAAAGCCACGGCUAACUACGUG
This 497-nucleotide ribosomal RNA is filed under the name uncultured bacterium. RNAcentral's name for it is "partial 16S ribosomal RNA". It matches the Rfam family "Bacterial small subunit ribosomal RNA", at positions 28 to 507 of the family's 1533-position model. The record is from RNAcentral.